Long non-coding RNA from Phacochoerus africanus (Common warthog), 789 nucleotides. RefSeq lists it as uncharacterized. The record is from RefSeq and is a predicted model, not a curated record. The transcript has 2 exons. NCBI's taxonomy places the organism in Eukaryota, Metazoa, Chordata, Mammalia, Artiodactyla, Suidae.
GGAGAGAGAUGGGCCCGUGCACCUGUCCACAGAGGGCCUCCACCCGCAGCGUCUCCACCUUCCCCGGGCCAGCCCUGCCGCCGCCGUCAGCUCCAGAGACCAACCUGCCCUCCAUCACCCACAGGGCCACGGCAGUCGGGGCCCCGGCGUAUCCAUCAGGCAAAGAUCUCUGCGAGGCACGGAACGAGUCGGCCCUGCCCAGAGGGGGAGGAAAAUGAGCGGCACAUGGGGCCCUCUGUCCCAGGACCUUCUUGGCUGGGCUCCCGAGGAAGGGCGUGGGCUCCUGAGUCGGGAAACCGCGGACGGAGGCCAACGCCUGCGGCUUCAGAAAAACGGCACCUCUCUGGGGCUUGGGUGUCCAAUUCUAUAGUUGGGGGCUCCCCCCCGCCCCCCAGCCCCGACUUUCCCCAGCUUCCACCGCAGAGACCCAGACACCUGCCCGGAAGUGUGUCAGUGCUGGGGGCGGGGGUGUGUGUGUGUGUGUGUGUGAAGGUGGAAAUACUGUUUCUAAGCAGCUCCUGGAAAGUGGACAGAUUCCGGUACCUCCACGGCUUGUCAGGAACCUUCGUCUCUCUCGCUGCUUUGCGUUCCCUUCCUCCAAGUGAGGGGCUGUGAACUCUCCGACGGGCCCGGGGGGAAAUCUGAGUUCUGAGAUCAUCCAGUCCGGCCCUCCUUCCCGCCUCAGUUCCACCGAGUAUCAAACUGCUGGGGGAGAUUUUGGGGGAAGCCACAAGUUGGAGCCAAGAACCCAUGAUUGAAAUUCUCCGCCAAUAAAUCCCUCCCAGCUGA